ACGGCGAGUGAAGCGGCAACAGCUCAAAUUUGAAAUCUGGCUUCGGCCCGAGUUGUAAUUUGUAGAGGUGGCUUUUGGUGCGGCACCUACUGAGUCCCCUGGAACGGGGCGCCAUAGAGGGUGAGAGCCCCGUAUAGUAGGAUGCCUAGCCUGUGUAAAGCCCCUUCGACGAGUCGAGUAGUUUGGGAAUGCUGCUCUAAAUGGGAGGUAAAUUUCUUCUAAAGCUAAAUAUUGGCCAGAGACCGAUAGCGCACAAGUAGAGUGAUCGAAAGAUGAAAAGCACUUUGAAAAGAGGGUUAAACAGCACGUGAAAUUGUUGAAAGGGAAGCGCUUGUGACCAGACUUGCGCCGGGCGGAUCAUCCGGUGUUCUCACCGGUGCACUCCGCCCGGCUCAGGCCAGCAUCGGUUCUCGUGGGGGGAUAAAGGCGGCGGGAAUGUGGCUCCUCCGGGAGUGUUAUAGCCCACCGUGUAAUACCCUGUGCUGGACUGAGGUUCGCGCAUUCGCAAGGAUGC
Molecule: ribosomal RNA, 514 nt
Filed under: uncultured Cercophora
Lineage: Eukaryota; Fungi; Ascomycota; Sordariomycetes; Sordariales; Lasiosphaeriaceae
Description: eukaryotic LSU rRNA
Rfam family: Eukaryotic large subunit ribosomal RNA
Source: RNAcentral